This is a small nuclear RNA of Sapajus apella (tufted capuchin), 110 nucleotides long. NCBI's taxonomy places the organism in Eukaryota, Metazoa, Chordata, Mammalia, Primates, Cebidae. The record is from RefSeq and is a predicted model, not a curated record.
GGCCACCAUCAUUCGGCAGCCCAUAUACUAAAAUUGGAACCAUACAGAGGGGAUUAUCGUGGCGCCUGCGCAAGGAUGACAUGCAGAUGCGUGAAGCGUUCCAUAUUUUU